UGUGUGUGUGCGUACAUGCAUGCCCCACUCCUGCUGUUCCCUGCCCUGCUCCCAGGAGCCAUGGGGUGGUGUGGGAGGGACCCCGUUCCAUAUUUCCUUACCUCAUCCCAG
This is a long non-coding RNA of Gavialis gangeticus (Gharial), 111 nucleotides long. RefSeq lists it as uncharacterized. The transcript is spliced from 3 exons. The record is from RefSeq and is a predicted model, not a curated record. NCBI's taxonomy places the organism in Eukaryota, Metazoa, Chordata, Crocodylia, Gavialidae.